UAGGGAAUCUUCCACAAUGGGCGCAAGCCUGAUGGAGCAACACCGCGUGAGUGAAGAAGGGUUUCGGCUCGUAAAGCUCUGUUGUUGAAGAAGAACGUGCGUGAGAGUAACUGUUCACGCAGUGACGGUAUUCAACCAGAAAGUCACGGCUAACUACGUCCCA
RNAcentral lists this ribosomal RNA (163 nucleotides) under uncultured bacterium. RNAcentral's name for it is "partial 16S rRNA". It matches the Rfam family "Bacterial small subunit ribosomal RNA", at positions 355 to 510 of the family's 1533-position model. The record is from RNAcentral.